RNAcentral lists this ribosomal RNA (646 nucleotides) under Amphistegina lessonii. Its description in RNAcentral is "SSU rRNA". It matches the Rfam family "Eukaryotic small subunit ribosomal RNA", at positions 1176 to 1804 of the family's 1831-position model. Lineage: Eukaryota; Foraminifera; Rotaliida; Amphisteginidae. The record is from RNAcentral.
GUGGAGCAUGUGGCUUAAUUUGACUCAACGCGGGGAAUCUUACUAGGUCAGGACCAUCGAUGCGCGAGUUCGCGUCGUAUGUAUGAUUGUCGCAGUGUCGCUGCUACAAAAUUAUUGGAUGAGUGGUGCAUGGCCGUUCUUAGUUCGUGAUGCAAUUUGUCUACUUAAUUGUUGGUUGCGUAUGAUUCACGUCAUCGUAACCGUAACGAACGAGACCGUGUUGUGUACGUAGCUACUCGCUGCGACAUUCGUACAUCGACAGAACAACCGCAAACUUGUUAGGAAGGACGCGGCAAUAACAGGUCUGUGAUGCCCUCAGAUGUUCUAGGCCGCACACGUGCUACAAUUGAUUCCCCAGUCAAUUAUGUAGUGCGCGUGUUGUGAGAUCCCCCGCGUAGAGUCUAAUUAAGUCACUAGUUGAGAUUACCGAUUGUAACUAUUCGGUACCGCAACUAGGAAUGCCUCGUACGGUGGGAUCAACGAGUUCCAUUGGAAUCCGUCCCUGCCCUUUGUACACACCGCCCGUCGCUCUUACCGAUGGCGGUGGUUUCGAAUGUUACCGAGCGACGUAGGUUUAAUAUACUCGCGGCGCAACGUAAUGUAAGAAACCACCGCUAAAGGAAAGAGAAGUCGUAACAAGGCAUCG